Vicugna pacos (alpaca) is the source of this 3019-nucleotide non-coding RNA. The record is from RefSeq and is a predicted model, not a curated record. Lineage: Eukaryota; Metazoa; Chordata; Mammalia; Artiodactyla; Camelidae.
CAGAGGCAGCAGGUACGCGGUGAGCUAGAGCAGCGAGUCCUGGCGUGCGUGGGAGCAGGGGGCGCAGUGAUUCCAGAAGUGUCCGCCGAAGGCUCAGACUCAGCGUACGGAGUUUAAACGUCGGUUUCCAAACUUUUCCACACAUUAGAAACACUUGGGAAAGCUUCAGAAACGGACACCUCCUUCUCACCCCAGAGAUUUAAAUCAUGGAUUGACAUACUACUCUGGGCCUACUGCCUAUUUUGAUGCCUUUGGUUGCUGGGCUAUAAAUUAAGAAUCCCAGUGAGGAGAAGAAGAUGGGAAUCUGACCUUGGGCACUGCCUGGGCUCCUGGUACCCACGCAUGGAUGGCAGCAUGAUGUGGGAAGUGCCAGAAGCAGAGAGAUGCCAUUGGGAAGAGACAAGAGGGAACAGAAAGUGUAUUAGUUAGAAUGCAGAGUCAGCUGCUAUGACAAAGACCAAAGUGACAGUGACAUAAACAAGGUAAUUUUCUCUCUCAUGAAGCACUUCAAGUGUUAGCAGUCCAGGGCUGAUAGAGCUAAGUUCCCUGGUGUGGGGACCCAGGUUCCUUCUGUCUUGAGCUCUUCCAGUCCUAGAUCGUUGGCUUCAUUUGGUCCAGGAUGGCUCCACACCAUGACACAUUCCAGGCAGCAGGGUGGAGAAUGUGCAUGUAUAUUACACCCUAUUGGCCAGAACGGAGGCUUCAGGGAAGGCUGGGAAAUGUAGUCUUUAGUUGGGGUGGCCAUGGGCCUGGCUAAAACUCAGGAGUUGUAUUAUGAAAGGAAGUAAGAAAGAAUGGAUAUUUGGGGACAUCCAGCCAUUUCUGCCACCAAGAAGACAGUCUGAAAGACUAAUCCCUUUUCAAAAAAAUCUGAAGGAAAGUAAUUUAAACCAGAAGAAUCUGAGAAGCCUCUAAGUGGCAACUUUAAGCCAUCUCCCUUUUCCUACCUUACCCUACAAGAUCUAGUUGAAGGACCUAGAGGAACACAGUAUUUCCUGCACAUCUGAGGGUACUGUGUAAAUGUUAACCCUACUACAAAAGAAAAUAAGGUAAAGGUUGUAUCCCACCACUGUUCCAGAACACCCAGACAGGCCUAAGAUUCACCUACAGGAGACGGAGAAGGGAGUUCUGUUGCCAAAAAGCCCUGUCACCACAAAGCAGAUCUAGCAAGAGGAACAUGAGCCUUCUGCAGUCCCGUGAGUGCUCAGUAAAUACCAUGUGAUGACAGAAGAGGAGGAGGUUGUAGGGUAAUCGGAGGCCGGCCUGAAGUCAAGGACCUCAAGAGUCCAGUGUUAAAAUAUCUUUUUUUUCCCUUUAGUAUUAAAGCUGUCAGGUUUUUUAAUGCUUGCUUGGGACCUGUUAGCAGAGUAUUAUUUUAUCAUAUAGUCGUCUAUAGAAGAUUAACUAAUAAAAUCAAUGAAGUAUUGGCUAUUACUGUUCCCAUUUUACAGAUUAAAAAAAAUGAAGGCUCAGUGAAAAUAAAUAAAUGGCCCAAAGUCUAUAAAGGAGUUAAGCCUGAAGAUUAGGAGUCAAGAAUCAAGCUGAGCUGGGGUUUUUCUCCCCCAAAGAUAUUAUUAAUGUUGUCUUCAUUACCUUGUGGGGUAUGCUUUCCAGAAGGACCAAGGUAGAAAUUCUUUCUGGCCUUGAUACAGUUGGGUCCUAAAGGGGAGACACUGAAUUGUAUAAAUGAACACAGAUGUGUGUGUGUGUGUGUAAACACAAGACUCUGCAAAAUCCAUGGCCCACCCAAAGGAAACCCAGUUUUUCAGACUCACUUUCUGGCCACAUUGUAUGUCACCACAGUUCUUUCUUCUUUUACUUCCACUUCUUUUUUCUCCAAAAUCACUCUUCUAAUGUAAAAAGUUAUGCCUGGGAGGCAGAGACUUGGUUUUGUGGAGUCAGACGCAGGUGCAGUGUUGUAUGUCUCAGAUUUUUACCACCAGUGCAGAAAAAGUAUUUUGUUUGCUUUUGUCAAAGCAGCAGUGUGGACAGUGAAUUAUCCUAACCUUUUAAGAUGACCUUUCAUGUAAUAUUUUGCAAAACAAAUCAGGUGUACUAGGAAGACAGGGACAGUCCACAGGAACUGUCAUAAAGAAACUGUCAGGAGAAACCUAAAGGGCAGUGGCAGAAAGGGCAGGGCAAAGGAAGGAACUCUACAGAGAUGUGGGUUCAGGAAGAAGUGGGCCUCAUCCUGAUCACAUGAGGAGUUCUGAAACACACCCUGUACCACAGAGGCAAGAGGGCUGAGCACAUUGGCUAGUCAUUGGCCAUGAAGAGGGGGUGUAACCCCAGUCAUCUCCUGGCGGGGGACAGCUUCCCUUAGCCAAAGGCAGAGUGGGAACCAACCUGAGAAGGUGCAGGAUGAGCUUUUAGCAGCCAACACCUACAGGCAGGAGGUAGUGUGUUGGCCCAGGGGAGGGAUCCUGGGCUGGGCACCAAGAGCAUCCACUACACUGGAACCAUCACAACUUAUGCGUAAUACUAAAGUCAGGUAUAUGUGGUAGUUUCUUGGUGUGCUAUUUGGUUUAUUUAUUUAUUUUUGGCUAUUUUCAGUAGGUUUUAUUUUUUAGAGUAGUUUAGGUUCAUAGCUAAAUUGAGCAGAAAGUAUAGAGAGUUCCAUAUACCUCCCUGUCCCCUACAUGCACAUAGCCUCCCCUCAAAUCAACAUCUUGCACCAAAGUAGUGCUUUUCUUACAAUCAGUGAGCCUACAUUGACACAUUACUAUCACCCAAAGUUUGCAAUUUACAUUAGGUUUCACUCUUGGUGUUGUACAGUCCGUGGAUUUUGACAAAUGUAUCAUGAUAUUGAUCUACCAUUACAGUAUUGUACAGAAUAGUUUCACUGCCCUAAAAAUCCUCUGUGCUCUGCCUGUUCAUCCCUCCCCACCUCAAACCUCUGGCAACCACUGAUCUUUUCACUGUCUCCAUAGUUAUGCCUUUGUCAAAUGUCAUAUGAUUGGAAUCCUAUAGUACAUAGCCUUCUUGCACUGGUUUCUUUUGCUUAAUAAUGUGCAUUUAA